GCCGGAGUGGCGGAACGGCAGACGCGCUACGUUCAGGGCGUAGUGGGCGCGAAGCCCGUGGGGGUUCAAAUCCCUCCUCCGGCACCA
This 87-nucleotide transfer RNA is filed under the name Pseudomonadota bacterium. Its description in RNAcentral is "tRNA-Leu". It matches the Rfam family "tRNA". From Rfam's summary of the family: Transfer RNA (tRNA) molecules are approximately 80 nucleotides in length. The record is from RNAcentral. RNAcentral also lists the same sequence under 1 other name. Lineage: Bacteria; Pseudomonadati; Pseudomonadota.